Molecule: ribosomal RNA, 325 nt
Filed under: uncultured bacterium
Lineage: Bacteria
Description: bacterial SSU rRNA
Rfam family: Bacterial small subunit ribosomal RNA
Source: RNAcentral
GAUGAACGCUGGCGGCGUGCUUAACACAUGCAAGUCGAACGGAGCUUAUUUGAUAGAGACUUCGGUCAAUUGAUUAUAAGCUUAGUGGCGGACGGGUGAGUAACGCGUGAGGAAUCUGCCUUGGAGUGGGGAAUAACACAGUGAAAAUUGUGCUAAUACCGCAUAAUGCAGUUGAGUCGCAUGGCUCUGACUGCCAAAGAUUUAUGUGCUGAGAGAUGGCCUCGCGUCUGAUUAGCUAGUUGGUGGGGUAACGGCUCACCAAGGCGACGAUCAGUAGCCGGUCUGAGAGGAUGAACGGCCACAUUGGGACUGAGAUACGGCCCAG